UUGCAAAUACUUCCAGAGCCGCUAGUGAAUCACAGAGGUAUAGUAAACCAGUAAAGGGCGACGAGUUGAAGAUUCCGUGGAGCGAGCGAGCGAGAGAGAGAGAUCUCUCUUCGAGCAGGAAUCAGAGAAUGAGUGAUAUAUCUGACCUCGACAGGCAAAUAGAGCAGCUGAAGAAGUGCGAGCCAUUGAAGGAAUCGGAAGUAAAGACUCUUUGCCUUAAAGCCAUUGAAAUCCUCGUUGAAGAGGGCAACGUCCAAAGGGUCGACGCCCCUGUCACCAUAUGUGGUGACAUCCAUGGGCAGUUUUAUGACAUGAAAGAACUUUUCAAAGUAGGUGGAGAUUGCCCAAAGACUAAUUACUUAUUUCUCGGAGAUUUUGUUGAUAGAGGAUUCUACUCUGUUGAGACAUUUCUUCUUCUGCUAGCCCUAAAGGUGAGGUAUCCAGAUCGAAUCACACUUAUUAGGGGGAACCAUGAGAGCCGCCAGAUCACACAGGUUUAUGGAUUUUAUGAUGAGUGUCUUCGUAAAUAUGGUUCUGCGAAUGUAUGGAGAUAUUGCACAGACAUAUUUGAUUACUUGAGUCUUUCAGCUCUCAUUGAAAACAAAAUUUUUAGUGUCCAUGGUGGUCUCUCACCUGCCAUAUCGACAUUGGAUCAGAUACGAACAAUUGAUCGGAAGCAAGAAGUACCUCAUGAUGGUGCCAUGUGCGACUUAAUGUGGUCAGAUCCUGAAGAUAUUGUAGAUGGUUGGGGUUUGAGUCCUCGUGGUGCUGGAUUUUUAUUUGGUGGAAGUGUUGUUACUUCUUUCAACCACGCUAACAACAUUGACUACAUCUGCCGUGCCCACCAAUUAGUAAUGGAGGGAUAUAAAUGGAUGUUCAACAACCAAAUAGUUACAGUAUGGUCGGCUCCAAACUACUGUUACAGAUGUGGCAAUGUAGCUGCAAUCCUCGAACUAGACGAGAAUCUUAAUAAGCAGUUUCGUGUGUUCGAUGCAGCUCCACAGGAAUCAAGAGGAGCCCGUGCCAAGAAGCCAGCACCAGAUUACUUCUUAUGAGAUGGAUUACUUGAACGUUUGCUCCGUUUGUCUUCGACACACCUAAAUUGAUGAACAAGCUUUGAAUCACACAGUGCCACCGAGAAUCGAUGAUUUUUUCCCCCAGCAACAAUCAAGUGGUUAAAUGACCCAACGAGAUAUGUCAUUUCAUCUGGUUCCUGAUUUAGCACAACACUACAUUUUGUAUUCCUUACCAUUCUUAAAAGGUUUUUAAGCUUAGAGGAGCAGUCCAGGAUGGUGAAGACUGAUAAGCCAACUCCACGUAUCGAUUCUUGAUGUGAUAGACACCAGUCAUAUAUCCAGUUUCAUCACCCGAGGCAUCGAAGAAAUAGAUUCUAUUUGCUGUACAUUCAUCCAUGUCCGUAGCAGGCAUUGAUACAGAGCAAUUCGGACUCAAAUAUAUAGCAUUCUCGCCGACAUUGUCCACCUCAACCCAGUCUCUGUUCUGCAACUUAUAUACCUCAAACAGAGGAUUACUUAGCUCACACGAGUAGCCGUAUGUGCAACCCAUCCCUGAUAGUUUAAUAUCAUCCCAGUAGUUAUAUUUCAAAAUAAGCAACAAAUCUGCAGAGGAAUCCACCAGGUAUGUAUCCACAGACAAGCAUCGUUCCGGCUUUUGUAUCGAUUUCUGUGUAAUUGAAACGAGACGGCCCAAAUCGAUGCAU
Tripterygium wilfordii is the source of this 1720-nucleotide RNA transcript. It is a transcript of the gene named serine/threonine-protein phosphatase PP-X isozyme 2, with no coding region annotated. NCBI's taxonomy places the organism in Eukaryota, Viridiplantae, Streptophyta, Magnoliopsida, Celastrales, Celastraceae. The record is from RefSeq and is a predicted model, not a curated record. The transcript has 9 exons.